GGCGGCGUGCCUAACACAUGCAAGUCGAACGGGACGUCAGCUGAUGGUAACUGAUGUUGAGGUUAGUGGCGGACGGGUGAGUAACGCGUGAGUAACCUGCCUUUCAGUGGGGGGACAACAGAGGGAAACUUCUGCUAAUACCGCAUGAUACAGCGAGAUCGCAUGGUCUUGCUGUCAAAGAUUUAUCGCUGAAAAGAUGGACUCGCGUAUGAUUAGAUAGUUGGUGAGGUAACGGCCCACCAAGUCGACGAUCAUUAGCCGGACUGAGAGGUUGAACGGCCACAUUGGGACUGAGACACGGCCCAGACUCCUACGGGAGGCAGCAGUGAGGAAUAUUGGGCAAUGGGCGCCAAGCCUGACCCAGCAACGCCGCGUGAAGGAAGACGGUCUUCGGAUUGUAAACUUCUUUUGUCAGGGACGAAUAAUGACGGUACCUGGCGAAUAAGCCACGGCUAACUACGUGCCAGCCGCGGC
This 474-nucleotide ribosomal RNA is filed under the name uncultured bacterium. Its description in RNAcentral is "bacterial SSU rRNA". It matches the Rfam family "Bacterial small subunit ribosomal RNA", at positions 38 to 518 of the family's 1533-position model. The record is from RNAcentral.